RNAcentral lists this ribosomal RNA (478 nucleotides) under uncultured bacterium. RNAcentral's name for it is "bacterial SSU rRNA". It matches the Rfam family "Bacterial small subunit ribosomal RNA", at positions 29 to 533 of the family's 1533-position model. The record is from RNAcentral.
AACGAACGCUGGCGGCAGGCUUAACACAUGCAAGUCGAGCGCCCCGCAAGGGGAGCGGCAGACGGGUGAGUAACGCGUGGGAACAUACCCUUUGGUUCGGAAUAACUCAGGGAAACUUGAGCUAAUACCGGAUACGUCCGUAAGGAGAAAGAUUUAUCGCCAAAGGAUUGGCCCGCGUCCGAUUAGCUAGUUGGUGAGGUAACGGCUCACCAAGGCUACGAUCGGUAGCUGGUCUGAGAGGAUGAUCAGCCACAUUGGGACUGAGACACGGCCCAAACUCCUACGGGAGGCAGCAGUGAGGAAUAUUGGACAAUGGGCGCAAGCCUGAUCCAGCCAUGCCGCGUGCAGGAAGAAGGUCCUAUGGAUUGUAAACUGCUUUAUACAGGAAGAAACACUCCCUCGUGAGGGAACUUGACGGUACUGUAUGAAUAAAGGACCGGCUAACUCCGUGCCAGCAGCCGCGGUAAAGUGUGACUGU